GAUGAAGAACGCAGUGAAAUGCGAUACUUGGUGUGAAUUGCAGAAUCCCGUGAACCAUCGAGUCUUUGAACGCAAGUUGCGCCCGAAGCCACUAGGCCGAGGGCACGCCUGCCUGGGCGUCACACGCCGUUGCCCCCCCAUCUACUCCUUCGGGAUUGCGGGGGGGCGGAUGAUGGCCUCCCGUGCGCCUAGCCGCGCGGUUGGCAUAAAUACCAAGUCCUCGGCGACGCACGCCACGACAAUCGGUGGUUGCGAAACCUCGGUUGCCCGUCGUGUGCGUUCGUCGCGCAUCGAGGGCUCGAAAAAAUGCUCGGCUCCGGCUGGGCUUUCAACGCGACCCCAGGUCAGGCGGGGUUACCCGCUGAAUUUAAGCAUAUCAAUAAGCGGAGGA
Molecule: unclassified non-coding RNA, 391 nt
Filed under: soil metagenome
Description: partial contains 5.8S ribosomal RNA, internal transcribed spacer 2, and large subunit ribosomal RNA
Rfam family: 5.8S ribosomal RNA (bases 1-122)
Source: RNAcentral